Molecule: ribosomal RNA, 396 nt
Filed under: Triticum aestivum (bread wheat)
Lineage: Eukaryota; Viridiplantae; Streptophyta; Magnoliopsida; Poales; Poaceae
Description: partial small subunit ribosomal RNA
Source: RNAcentral
CGGAAGGACACCUUUCGGUAUUUGGGGUCAAUGUUGCAGGAGGAUGGUGGUAUUGAUGAAGAUGUGAACCAUCGAAUCAAAGCCGGAUGGAUGAAGUGGCGCCAAGCUUCUGGCAUUCUCUGUGACAAGAGAGUGCCACAAAAGCUAAAAGGCAAGUUCUACAGGACGGCGGUUCGACCCGCAAUGUUGUAUGGCGCGGAGUGUUGGCCGACUAAAAGGCGACAUGUUCAACGGUUAGGUGUGGCGGAGAUGCGUAUGUUGAGAUGGAUGUGUGGCCACACGAGGAAGGAUCGAGUCCGGAAUGAUGAUAUACGAGAUAGAGUUGGGGUAGCACCAAUUGAGGAGAACCUUGUCCAACAUCGUUUGAGAUGGUUUGGGCAUAUUCAGCGCAGGCCU